RNAcentral lists this ribosomal RNA (379 nucleotides) under marine Metazoa environmental sample. RNAcentral describes it as "SSU rRNA". It matches the Rfam family "Eukaryotic small subunit ribosomal RNA", at positions 587 to 972 of the family's 1831-position model. Lineage: Eukaryota; Metazoa. The record is from RNAcentral.
AGCUCCAAUAGCGUAUAUUAAAGUUGUUGCAGUUAAAAAGCUCGUAGUUGGAUUUCGGAGUGGGCCAGUUGGUCCGCCGCAAGGUGUGUUACUGACUGGUUUGCUCUUCUUCGCAAAGACUGCGUGUGCUCUUCAGUGAGUGUGCGUAGGAUUUACGACGUUUACUUUGAAAAAAUUAGAGGGUUCAAAGCAGGCUAUUGCUUGAAUACAUGAGCAUGGAAUAAUGGAAUAGGACUUUGGUGCCAAUUUGUUGGGUUCGAGGGCCGAAGUAAUGAUUAAGAGGGACAAUUGGGGGCAUCCGUAUUUCGUUGUCAGAGGUGAAAUUCUUGGAUUUACGAAAGACGAACAACUGCGAAAGCACUUGCCAAGAGUGUUUUCA